RNAcentral lists this ribosomal RNA (253 nucleotides) under uncultured bacterium. RNAcentral's name for it is "partial 16S ribosomal RNA". It matches the Rfam family "Bacterial small subunit ribosomal RNA", at positions 524 to 776 of the family's 1533-position model. The record is from RNAcentral.
UACAGAGGGUGCGAGCGUUAUCCGGAAUUAUUGGGCGUAAAGGGCUCGUAGGCGGUUCGUCACGUCGGGAGUGAAAACUCGGAGCUUAACUCCGAGCCUGCUUCCGAUACGGGCAGACUAGAGGUAGGCAGGGGAGAGCGGAACUCCUGGUGUAGCGGUGGAAUGCGCAGAUAUCAGGAAGAACACCCGUGGCGAAGGCGGCUCUCUGGGCAGUAACUGACGCUGAGGAGCGAAAGCGUGGGGAGCGAACAGG